This is a non-coding RNA of Lolium perenne, 2533 nucleotides long. NCBI's taxonomy places the organism in Eukaryota, Viridiplantae, Streptophyta, Magnoliopsida, Poales, Poaceae. The record is from RefSeq and is a predicted model, not a curated record.
UCGUCCGACCUAGCCUCCGUCGUCCCGCAAGCGUCAAACUGGGCCAAGCCCAACGCCACUAUCCUCCGCAUCCACUCCACCCGCUCCAGCCGACCACUAGACGGAUGCCGCCCCAAACUACGACGAGAUCCGGAGGGACGCCGCCCCAGGCGACAACGCGAUCCGGAGGGAAGACCCCUAAACUCCCGAGCCUGGAGUGGGGCUGUGUCGCCGCGUGCUCUCAGAGGGAGUCGUCAUCCACUGCAUCCCGAAGCUGGGCGCCGACGAGCUCCGAUGGUCCAGAUCGACCUCUCCCCAGUCUGCUCGUCGCGGCGGCACAGGUGGAAGAAAUUGGCCGGAGUUAGGUGAGGGAGAGAGGAACCCGAAGAGGGCAGUGGCGGCCUCACAGCCUCCACCACACGGAUCCAUCCUCCCCCGCACGGAUCCGGCCGUCACCAUCUCCCCCUCGGUUGUUCUUCUUCCACAUCACGUCUCGGUGACAUGGAGGCCCGAUGCCCUUCCCAGAUCGCGAGCAAGAGCAGCUGCUGGGUCGCCCCGGAGUCCUUCUCUCACAGCGCAUGGGCUCCAGUCCUCCCAGCUGCGUGGAGGACAACGAUAGGCCACUCGGAUCGUGCCAACGAAGCUCCGCAGAAGCUGGCCACGACUCCGUGCUAUUCGUGGCCAUGAUCGACAUCGGUGCUCCGUAACGGGGAAAGGAGGGUGCCCGACUCUAGCAAACAUCCUGACCAAGAUUCCGUUGCGUAGGUUCAGACCCUAUUUUGUUCUCACAUAAUCUCUCUUUUGCAGGUGUUGGUUUUUUCAGACUCAAGCAUGACAAUGUCAUACAGUCUUGCUGUGUUGUAAGGUGCACCCAUGUUCUUGCUUACGAGUAUGCGACAAGGCUUUUCUUUUAUGCAUUUUCUCACAUCAAAGAUUGUUUCCAGUGUCCUAUGGAUAUAAGAAUUGAAGCAAAUCUCUGAAGGUUAAUAACUUGCUGUAACUCCUUUCUACACAUCGGCCAAAACUUCUGUACUGGUGAUAAACUAUCAUGAUGGAGCCAAGGUUGUUGUAUGAAAUCUCAAUUGUUAUCGAAUAUCUGCACUAUUGUGAAUCUACGGCCAUAUCUUUCUGGCACCUGAAGCUAGGUGUAUACUGAACUGAGCGCUGCAACUUAAUGGAGCAGUUACACCCAAUUUCUUAUUUAUCAUCAACAUCUUCCUUUUUUUCCAGUGCAUUUGGAUUAUUCCAUCAAUGAGGAAACUCAUGGCAUGAUCGAUCAAGUGGACGCGGGAUUCUAUUUCUUAAAGUACUAAUUAAGAUUCGUGUGCUGGUUAUUUUUAUAGAUGUAUGCAAGUCGUUCUUUCUAAUGGAAAUCACUGCGCUUAAUGUCUUUGAUGCAAGUUGAUGGGAUGUAUUUUCAAAGAAGUGAAGCAGGCCUAUAAAUUUGCCGAAGAACAUCUUGAAAAUGGACCAACUGUAAGUACUAAGAAAACUUGGACAAUUUCUAUCAUGUAGAUUCUCUGCAUGUAUGUCCUUUUGGGGAUUGAUCAGGGAUGUGUUGGGUUGGAAUAUGCUGCUGGUUGUUUUAUUAUUCCUGAUUCGUCUGUUGGAUUCAUCAAGUUUGUUUGCCAUAUGCCUUCUUCGAUUUGUUAUUUAGCGCUGAAUGUAUUUUACAAUGGUUCCUUUUUGGAACUACAUGUUAAUUUAACUAUAGCGUUUUUCGAUUUGUUAUUGUUCCUUGGUCUGUAAGCACAGAAAUUAUAACUAAGCUUCUAUAGUGUUGGUUGUCAAACAUAUGUUUAUUAUUUUAGAUUGACAGACUAACAGCAUUAAAAUAGACGUACAUAUGCUCCUUUAACAUAUGUUCUUGCUUCUAUGCUUUGAUGAAAGGGCGGUCGAACCAUUCUUCUGUCGCUGACCAUCCAGACUCAUUUCAUAAGCAUUAUAUGGGUUGGCAUUAUCAUCGUUCGCACUAGAACCUUUCUUCUUGGAUUGCGAUUUUGAUUAUGAGCCUGCAGAUGAGAAUACAAUUCUGAUGACGGAGCUCAAUAGUGAAGAAAGGAAAGCAAUAUUUUUUUACAAAGAAUUAUGAACUAUGGAAACUGGCCAGUAUUAAUUUUUGUUGUUCAUUGAUGUUCGCUUGUGCUCCUUGUUCUUUUCCUUUAGCGGUGGUUGUGGAAGAUUACUCCUCGCAGACCCGCAUGAUGGAUGCUAUGCAUGGGUGCAUCGCUAGAAAUGAAGAGCACGUGAAGGACACCCAAGACAACUGUGCACAAAAAUAUGCAACUUAACAAUUGAAAUGGUCCGUCUGCUAUUUUAUAUGUUGUAUGUAUUAUGAAAAUAGUAUCUAUAUAGAGGACAAAAAUAUUAUAAGGCAUAUAGUCACCUUGGAUAUAUGUUGUGGCUUUCUGGUAAAUACAAAUGGUCUCUCCCUGGCUUUUCUGUGCUGAUGCUUCCUGCAAAAACUAAGUCAAGUCCCCCUGUGCUUAUAUGGAUACAAUUCUAGCAGUGUUGCAAAAUCAAAGUGCGAGCAUGGAAAGCGGAUAAAAGAUGG